Molecule: microRNA precursor, 90 nt
Organism: Bison bison bison
Lineage: Eukaryota; Metazoa; Chordata; Mammalia; Artiodactyla; Bovidae
Source: Ensembl
AUUGGUGGUCUCAGGGAGUGUACUUCCUGGGGCCUCUGGGCAUAUAAUUCCUGUGGCCUCUGGGUGUGUACCCUCUGUGGCUUCCAGGUU